Molecule: ribosomal RNA, 200 nt
Filed under: uncultured bacterium
Lineage: Bacteria
Description: partial 16S ribosomal RNA
Rfam family: Bacterial small subunit ribosomal RNA
Source: RNAcentral
AAUCAACGCUGGCGGAAUGCUUUACACAUGCAAGUCGAACGGCAGCACGGGUGCUUGCACCUGGUGGCGAGUGGCGAACGGGUGAGUAAUACAUCGGAACGUACCCAGUUAUGGGGGAUAACUAACCGAAAGGUUAGCUAAUACCGCAUACGCCCUGAGGGGGAAAGCGGGGGACCGUAAGGCCUCGCGUAAUUGGAGCG